RNAcentral lists this ribosomal RNA (390 nucleotides) under uncultured bacterium. RNAcentral's name for it is "bacterial SSU rRNA". It matches the Rfam family "Bacterial small subunit ribosomal RNA", at positions 29 to 418 of the family's 1533-position model. The record is from RNAcentral.
AUUGAACGCUGGCGGAAUGCUUUACACAUGCAAGUCGAACGGCAGCGCGGGGGCAACCCUGGCGGCGAGCGGCGAACGGGUGAGUAAUACAUCGGAACGUGUCCUUAAGUGGGGGAUAGCUCGGCGAAAGCCGGAUUAAUACCGCAUAAGCUCUGAGGAGGAAAGCGGGGGCUCCGUAAGGACCUCGCGCUGUUGGAGCGGCCGAUGUCGGAUUAGCUAGUUGGUGGGGUAAAGGCCCACCAAGGCGACGAUCCGUAGCUGGUCUGAGAGGAUGAUCAGCCACACUGGAACUGAGACACGGUCCAGACUCCUACGGGAGGCAGCAGUGGGGAAUUUUGGACAAUGGGGGCAACCCUGAUCCAGCCAUUCCGCGUGAGUGAAGAAGGCCUU